CAGCAGCCGCGGUAAUACGUAGGGGGCAAGCGUUAUCCGGAAUUACUGGGUGUAAAGGGAGCGUAGACGGUUAAACAAGUCUGAAGUGAAAUGCCGGGGCUCAACCCCGGAGCUGCUUUGGGAACUGUAGAACUGGAGUGUCGGAGGGGUAAGCGGAAUUCCCAGUGUAGCGGUGAAAUGCGUAGAUAUUGGGAGGAACACCGGCGGCGAAGGCGGCUUACUGGACGACAACUGACGUUGAGGCUCGAAGGCGUGGGUAGCAAACAGGAUUAGAUACCCCCGUAGUCCCUGUCUCUUAUAC
RNAcentral lists this ribosomal RNA (301 nucleotides) under uncultured bacterium. Its description in RNAcentral is "partial 16S ribosomal RNA". It matches the Rfam family "Bacterial small subunit ribosomal RNA", at positions 509 to 807 of the family's 1533-position model. The record is from RNAcentral.